Molecule: ribosomal RNA, 374 nt
Filed under: uncultured organism
Description: partial 16S ribosomal RNA
Rfam family: Bacterial small subunit ribosomal RNA
Source: RNAcentral
GAAGGUGGCGAGCGUUACUCGGGAAUGACUAGGCGUAAAGGGCAGGUAGGUGGUCUGAUAAGUCUGUUGUGAAAGCUCCUGGGCUUAACUGGGGAGAGGUCAACAGAUACUGUCAGGCUUGAGUAUAGGAGAGGGUACUGGAAUUCCCGGUGUAGCGGUGAAAUGCGCAGAGAUCGGGAGGAACACCAAUGGCGAAAGCAGGUACCUGGACUAUUACUGACACUAAGCUGCGAAAGCUAGGGGAGCAAACAGGAUUAGAUACCCUGGUAGUCCUAGCUGUAAACGAUGCACAUUAGACGUGAGGGGUAUCGACCCCCUUCGUGUCGACGCAAACGCAUUAAAUGUGCCGCCUGGGGAGUACGGCCGCAAGGUUG